UACGGGGGGAGCAAGCGUCGUUCGGAUUUACUGGGCGUAAAGGGCGCGUAGGCGGCGCAACAAGUCAGUUGUGAAAUCUCUGGGCUUAACCCAGAGCGGUCAACUGAUACUGUCGUGCUAGAGUGCGGAAGGGGCAACUGGAAUUCUCGGUGUAGCGGUGAAAUGCGUAGAUAUCGAGAGGAACACCUGCGGCGAAGGCGGGUUGCUGGGCCGACACUGACGCUGAGGCGCGAAAGCUAGGGGAGCGAACGGG
This 253-nucleotide ribosomal RNA is filed under the name uncultured bacterium. Its description in RNAcentral is "partial 16S ribosomal RNA". It matches the Rfam family "Bacterial small subunit ribosomal RNA", at positions 524 to 776 of the family's 1533-position model. The record is from RNAcentral.